AGAGUUUGAUCAUGGCUCGGAUUGAACGCUGGCGGCAGGCCUAACACAUGCAAGUCGAACGGUAACAGGAAACAGCUUGCUGUUUCGCCGACGAGUGGCGGACGGGUGAGUAAUGUCUGGGAAACUGCCUGAUGGAGGGGGAUAACUACUGGAAACGGUAGCUAAUACCGCAUAACGUCGCAAGACCAAAGAGGGGGACCUUCGGGCCUCUUGCCAUCAGAUGUGCCCAGAUGGGAUUAGCUAGUAGGUGGGGCAACGGCUCACCUAGGCGACGAUCCCUAGCUGGUCUGAGAGGAUGACCAGCCACACUGGAACUGAGACACGGUCCAGACUCCUACGGGAGGCAGCAGUGGGGAAUAUUGCACAAUGGGCGCAAGCCUGAUGCAGCCAUGCCGCGUGUAUGAAGAAGGCCUUCGGGUUGUAAAGUACUUUCAGCGGGGAGGAAGGGAGUAAAGUUAAUACCUUUGCUCAUUGACGUUACCCGCAGAAGAAGCACCGGCUAACUCCGUGCCAGCAGCCGCGGUAAUACGGGGGUGCAAGCGUUAAUCGGAAUUACUGGGCGUAAAGCGCACGCAGGCGGUUUGUUAAGUCAGAUGUGAAAUCCCCGGGCUCAACCUGGGAACUGCAUCUGAUACUGGCAAGCUUGAGUCUCGUAGAGGGGGGUAGAAUUCCAGGUGUAGCGGUGAAAUGCGUAGAGAUCUGGAGGAAUACCGGUGGCGAAGGCGGCCCCCUGGACGAAGACUGACGCUCAGGUGCGAAAGCGUGGGGAGCAAACAGGAUUAGAUACCCUGGUAGUCCAUGCCGUAAUCGAUGUCGACUUGGAGGUUGUGCCCUUGAGGCGUGGCUUCCGGAGCUAACGCGUUAAGUCGACCGCCUGGGGAGUACGGCCGCAAGGUUAAAACUCAAAUGAAUUGACGGGGGCCCGCACAAGCGGUGGAGCAUGUGGUUUAAUUCGAUGCAACGCGAAGAACCUUACCUGGUCUUGACAUCCACGGAAGUUUUCAGAGAUGAGAAUGUGCCUUCGGGAACCGUGAGACAGGUGCUGCAUGGCUGUCGUCAGCUCGUGUUGUGAAAUGUUGGGUUAAGUCCCGCAACGAGCGCAACCCUUAUCCUUUGUUGCCAGCGGUCCGGCCGGGAACUCAAAGGAGACUGACAGUGAUAAACUGGAGGAAGGUGGGGAUGACGUCAAGUCAUCAUGCCCCUUACGACCAGGGCUACACACGUGCUACAAUGGCGCAUACAAAGAGAAGCGACCUCGCGAGAGCAAGCGGACCUCAUAAAGUGCGUCGUAGUCCGGAUUGGAGUCUGCAACUCGACUCCAUGAAGUCGGAAUCGCUAGUAAUCGUGGACCAGAACGCCACGGUGAAUACGUUCCCGGGCCUUGUACACACCGCCCGUCACACCAUGGGAGUGGGUUGCAAAAGAAGUAGGUAGCUUAACCUUCGGGAGGGCGCUUACCACUUUGUGAUUCAUGACUGGGGUGAAGUCGUAACAAGGUAACCGUAGGGGUACCUGCGGUUG
This 1521-nucleotide ribosomal RNA is filed under the name metagenome. RNAcentral describes it as "bacterial SSU rRNA". It matches the Rfam family "Bacterial small subunit ribosomal RNA". The record is from RNAcentral.